This 254-nucleotide ribosomal RNA is filed under the name uncultured bacterium. RNAcentral's name for it is "partial 16S ribosomal RNA". It matches the Rfam family "Bacterial small subunit ribosomal RNA", at positions 524 to 776 of the family's 1533-position model. The record is from RNAcentral.
UACGGGGGGAGCAAGGCGUUGUUCGGAAUUACUGGGCGUAAAGGGCUCGUAGGCGGCCAACUAAGUCCGACGUGAAAUCCCAAGGCUUAACCUUGGAACUGCGUCGGAUACUGGAUGGCUUGAGUUCGGGAGAGGGAUGCGGAAUUCCAGGUGUAGCGGUGAAAUGCGUAGAUAUCUGGAGGAACACCGGUGGCGAAGGCGGCAUCCUGGACCGAUACUGACGCUGAGGAGCGAAAGCCAGGGGAGCAAACGGG